UGCCAGACUCCUACGGGAGGCAGCAGUGGGGAAUCUUCCGCAAUGGGCGCAAGCCUGACGGAGCAAUGCCGCGUGAACGAAGAAGGUCUUCGGAUUGUAAAGUUCUGUCCUUAUCGAAGAGAGGGUAUAGAGUGAAAAAUGAUAUACUAGGACGGUAGAUGAGGAGGAAGCCCCGGCUAACUACGUGCCAGCAGCCGCGGUAAUACGUAGGGGGCAAGCGUUAUCCGGAUUUACUGGGUGUAAAGGGAGCGUAGACGGCAUGGCAAGUCUGAUGUGAAAACCCGGGGCUCAACCCCGGGACUGCAUUGGAAACUGUCAGGCCAGAGUGUCGGAGAGGCAAGUGGAAUUCCUAGUGUAGCGGUGAAAUGCGUAGAUAUUAGGAGGAACACCAGUGGCGAAGGCGGCUUGCUGGACGAUGACUGACGUUGAGGCUCGAAAGCGUGGGGAGCAAACAGGAUUAGAUACCCCCGUAC
RNAcentral lists this ribosomal RNA (473 nucleotides) under uncultured bacterium. RNAcentral's name for it is "bacterial SSU rRNA". It matches the Rfam family "Bacterial small subunit ribosomal RNA", at positions 329 to 793 of the family's 1533-position model. The record is from RNAcentral.